GAUGAACGCUGGCGGCGUGCCUAAUACAUGCAAGUCGAGCGAAUGGAUUAAGAGCUUGCUCUUAUGAAGUUAGCGGCGGACGGGUGAGUAACACGUGAGUAACCUGCCCUUGACUCUGGGAUAACUGCGGGAAACUGUAGCUAAUACCGGAUACGACCAUCGGCGGCAUCGCCAGGGGGUGGAAAGAAUUUCGGUCAAGGAUGGACUCGCGGCCUAUCAGCUAGUUGGUGAGGUAACGGCUCACCAAGGCGACGACGGGUAGCCGGCCUGAGAGGGUGACCGGCCACACUGGGACUGAGACACGGCCCAGACUCCUACGGGAGGCAGCAGUGGGGAAUAUUGCACAAUGGGCGCAAGCCUGAUGCAGCAACGCCGCGUGAGGGAUGACGGCCUUCGGGUUGUAAACCUCUUUUAGUAGGGAAGAAGCGAAAGUGACGGUACCUGCAGAAAAAGCACCGGCUAACUACGUGCCAGCAGCCGCGGUAA
RNAcentral lists this ribosomal RNA (486 nucleotides) under uncultured bacterium. RNAcentral's name for it is "partial 16S ribosomal RNA". It matches the Rfam family "Bacterial small subunit ribosomal RNA", at positions 28 to 523 of the family's 1533-position model. The record is from RNAcentral.